RNAcentral lists this ribosomal RNA (837 nucleotides) under Enterococcus avium. RNAcentral describes it as "bacterial SSU rRNA". It matches the Rfam family "Bacterial small subunit ribosomal RNA", at positions 36 to 846 of the family's 1533-position model. The record is from RNAcentral. Lineage: Bacteria; Bacillati; Bacillota; Bacilli; Lactobacillales; Enterococcaceae.
GUGACGGUGCGCGGGCCUACAAUGCAGUCGAACGCUUUUUCUUUCCCGUUGCUUGCUCCCUCAAAAGAGGCGGAGUGGUGACGGGUGAGUAACACGUGGGUAACCUGCCCAGCAUAAGGGGAUAACACUUGGAAACAGGUGCUAAUACCGUAUAACAAUCGAAACCGGAUGGUUUCGGUUUGAAGGGCGCUUUUGCGUCCCUGAUGGAUGGACCCGCGGUGCAUUAGCUAGUUGGUGAGGUAACGGCUCACCAAGGCAACGAUGCAUAGCCGACCUGAGAGGGUGAUCGGCCACAUUGGGACUGAGACACGGCCCAAACUCCUACGGGAGGCAGCAGUAGGGAAUCUUCGGCAAUGGACGCAAGUCUGACCGAGCAACGCCGCGUGAGUGAAGAAGGUUUUCGGAUCGUAAAACUCUGUUGUUAGAGAAAAACAAGGAUGAGAGUAAAAUGUUCAUCCCUUGACGGUAUCUAACCAGAAAGCCACGGCUAACUACGUGCCAGCAGCCGCGGUAAUACGUAGGUGGCAAGCGUUGUCCGGAUUUAUUGGGCGUAAAGCGAGCGCAGGCGGUUUCUUAAGUCUGAUGUGAAAGCCCCCGGCUCAACCGGGGAGGGUCAUUGGAAACUGGGAAACUUGAGUGCAUAAGAGGAGAGUGGAAUUCCAUGUGUAGCGGUGAAAUGCUACAUAUAUGGAGGAACACCCGUGGCGAAAGCAGCUCUCUGGUCUGUAAAUGACUGUGAGGCUCGAAAGCAUUAGGAGCCAACAGGAUUACAUACCCUGGUAAUUCCCACCUGUAAACAAUGACUCUAAGUGUUUGAGGGUUUCCGCCCCUCAUUCU